Molecule: small RNA, 95 nt
Filed under: Salmonella enterica
Lineage: Bacteria; Pseudomonadati; Pseudomonadota; Gammaproteobacteria; Enterobacterales; Enterobacteriaceae
Also listed under: 2 other names
Description: partial RtT sRNA
Rfam family: RtT RNA
About the family: This family represents a bacterial cis-regulatory element known as RtT RNA. The exact function of RtT is unknown although it is thought that it may be involved in changing the cellular response in relation to amino acid starvation.
Source: RNAcentral
UGCAUCUGAAGCCUGACGAGGAUGAGAACCUCCGGGGGCAAGAGGUUCGACUCGAGCGCAGCGAGAGAACGUUGCGUCAGCAACGGCCCGCAGGG